GAUGAACGCUGGCGGCGUGCCUAAUACAUGCAAGUCGAGCGAACAGAUGAGGAGCUUGCUCCUCUGACGUUAGCGGCGGACGGGUGAGUAACACGUGGAUAACCUACCUAUAAGACUGGGAUAACUUCGGGAAACCGGAGCUAAUACCGGAUAAUAUAUUGAACCGCAUGGUUCAAUAGUGAAAGACGGUUUUGCUGUCACUUAUAGAUGGAUCCGCGCCGCAUUAGCUAGUUGGUAAGGUAACGGCUUACCAAGGCAACGAUGCGUGGCCGACCUGAGAGGGUGAUCGGCCACACUGGAACUGAGACACGGUCCAGACUCCUACGGGAGGCAGCAGUAGGGAAUCUUCCGCAAUGGGCGAAAGCCUGACGGAGCAACGCCGCGUGAGUGAUGAAGGUCUUCGGAUCGUAAAACUCUGUUAUUAGGGAAGAACAAAUGUGUAAGUAGCUAUGCACGUCUUGACGGUACCUAAUCAGAAAGCCACGGCUAACUACGUG
This 497-nucleotide ribosomal RNA is filed under the name uncultured bacterium. RNAcentral's name for it is "partial 16S ribosomal RNA". It matches the Rfam family "Bacterial small subunit ribosomal RNA", at positions 28 to 507 of the family's 1533-position model. The record is from RNAcentral.